AGUGAACGCUGGCGGUAGGCCUAACACAUGCAAGUCGAACGGCAGCACAGUAAGAGCUUGCUCUUACGGGUGGCGAGUGGCGGACGGGUGAGGAAUACAUCGGAAUCUACUUUUUCGUGGGGGAUAACGUAGGGAAACUUACGCUAAUACCGCAUACGACCUACGGGUGAAAGCAGGGGAUCCUCGGACCUUGCGCGAUUGAAUGAGCCGAUGUCGGAUUAGCUAGUUGGCGGGGUAAAGGCCCACCAAGGCGACGAUCCGUAGCUGGUCUGAGAGGAUGAUCAGCCACACUGGAACUGAGACACGGUCCAGACUCCUACGGGAGGCAGCAGUGGGGAAUAUUGGACAAUGGGCGCAAGCCUGAUCCAGCCAUACCGCGUGGGUGAAGAAGGCCUUCGGGUUGUAAAGCCCUUUUGUUGGGAAAGAAAAGCAGCAGGCUAAUACCCCGCUGUUCUGACGGUACCCAAAGAAUAAGCACCGGCUAACUUCGUG
RNAcentral lists this ribosomal RNA (492 nucleotides) under uncultured bacterium. RNAcentral's name for it is "partial 16S ribosomal RNA". It matches the Rfam family "Bacterial small subunit ribosomal RNA", at positions 29 to 507 of the family's 1533-position model. The record is from RNAcentral.